RNAcentral lists this ribosomal RNA (675 nucleotides) under Pontibacter amylolyticus. RNAcentral describes it as "partial 16S ribosomal RNA". It matches the Rfam family "Bacterial small subunit ribosomal RNA", at positions 74 to 745 of the family's 1533-position model. Lineage: Bacteria; Pseudomonadati; Bacteroidota; Cytophagia; Cytophagales; Hymenobacteraceae. The record is from RNAcentral.
GAGACUUCGGUUUCCUGNGUUAGUGGCGCACGGGUGCGUAACGCGUAUGCAACCUACCUUCCACAGGGGGAUAGCCCGGCGGAAACCCGGAUUAUUACCGCAUGAUACAUUUGGGCGGCGUCGCCCGACUGUCAAAGAUUUCAUCGGUGANNAAUGGACAUGCGAGCCAUUAGCUGGUUGGCGGGGUNNACGCCCACNNGGGCAACCAUGGCUGGGGGUUCAGAAAGANUGGUCCCCCUGACUGUGACUGACACACGGAACUCACUCCUACGGGAGGCAUNNGUAAGANAGAUUGANNAAUGGCCGACAGGCUGACCCAUGCAUGCCGCGUGCAGGAAGANNGCCUUCUGGGUUGUAAACUGCUUUUACCAGGAAAGAAAACGCCCCUGCGGGGGUAACUGACGGUACCUGGUGAAUAAGCACCGGCUAACUCCUUGCCAGCAGCCGCGGUAAUACGGAGGGUGCACGCGUUGUCCGGAUUUAUUGGGUUUAAAGGGUGCGUAGGCGGCCCGCUAAUUCUGUGGUGAAAUCCCGGGGCUCAACCCCGGAACUGCCCUGGAUACUGGCGGGCUUGAGUUCGGUCGAGACGGUCGUAACUGUCGGUGUAUCGGUGAAAUGCGUAGAUACCGCCAAGAACCCCGAUUGCGAAGGCACCUCGCUGGGCCGAAACUGACG